This 538-nucleotide long non-coding RNA is filed under the name Zonotrichia albicollis (white-throated sparrow). RNAcentral describes it as "lncRNA (ENSZALG00000007282.1)". Lineage: Eukaryota; Metazoa; Chordata; Aves; Passeriformes; Passerellidae. The record is from RNAcentral.
GUUUUGAAUUAAGCAUCAUACCUGAUAUUUUUCCCCAAAUGAAGAAUCAGUGUAUGUAGAAUCUUUCUGGGAUGCAGAAAUUUCUGCUGGAAUGGAGAAAGAAAACUGUAAGAACUUCUCACAAAGACAAAUGUGCUUAAGAGAGCCUUGGUUUUGUUGGAAGAAAUUACUGCAUAAGUUCAACAAGGAGCCAUAGUCCUGCUUACAACACAGAAAUCUAGCGCUGCCCGUGAUGCUCUGACAGUGGAUAUGAGAGUGGGAAUCACUGGAGCUGAAGUGUUCAAUGAGCCUAAGAAGAGACUAAUAUAAUUUGAAGUUCACAAAGACAGCCAUCAACAAACCAGCAGAAUUAUAGAUGAAGAACUGUUCUGUGGUUUGUUAUGAGAGAGAUCUACUUCUGAAUAAGCUGUGUCUGGUUAGGAAGAAUAAGGUGGAAAGAAAUGCCUUCAUCCCAUUCAAGAUGACACAUGCAGCUCAAAAAAUGGGAACUUUGGGCUGGUUGGAAAUCAAGGCCAUGCUAGACAAGGAGGUCGCCUGA